UUGUGGGCUUGUACGAAAGGAUGAACGAAGGCUUUCCUGUCUCAAAAAUACACCUAAAAAUUGGCCUCUAGGUGAAAAGACCUAGAUUUUUUUAGAGGACAAAAAGACCCCGUAGAACUUUAUAUUUUAAUAAUUAUAUUUUUAUACUCCCUAUAACAAAUACACAUUAAUAAAACAUAUUUAGCUGGGGCGGCUAUGGAGCAAAUAACCUCCACAUAAAAUAAAGAUACACAUAUCUACUUAUUUAAAUCUGAUCCUUCUUAAGAUCAAAGAAUCAAGCUACCUCGGGGAUAACAGAUUA
This 301-nucleotide ribosomal RNA is filed under the name Terebellides banalis. RNAcentral describes it as "partial 16S ribosomal RNA". Lineage: Eukaryota; Metazoa; Annelida; Polychaeta; Terebellida; Trichobranchidae. The record is from RNAcentral.